This 253-nucleotide ribosomal RNA is filed under the name uncultured bacterium. RNAcentral describes it as "partial 16S ribosomal RNA". It matches the Rfam family "Bacterial small subunit ribosomal RNA", at positions 524 to 776 of the family's 1533-position model. The record is from RNAcentral.
GACAGAGGAGCCAAGCGUUGUCCGGAUUGACUGGGCGUAAAGCGCACGCAGGCGGCCCGUUAAGUCGAACGUGAAAUCCCCAGGCUCAACCUGGGAACUGCGUCCGAUACUGGCGGGCUUGAAUCCGGGAGAGGGAUGCGGAAUUCCAGGUGUAGCGGUGAAAUGCGUAGAUAUCUGGAGGAACACCGGUGGCGAAGGCGGCAUCCUGGACCGAGAUUGACGCUGAUGCGCGAAAGCCAGGGGAGCAAACGGG